UCAGGAUCAGACUAUUCAAACUAAAAUGGUUUCAGGAUCGUACUAUUCACAAUAACAUGUCCCCAGGAAGCCCACAAUCUACAAUUUCAGACCAGUAAAGCUUUUGUUUAGUUUCAGCAGCAGCUGACCAACAAUCUGUGGUGGUUGCAACAUGAUCUAUGUUACUAAGGUGCGCUGUUAACUUGGUCUUCAUAUCAGCAGUAGCUUCGGCAAUUCUGCUCUUAACAGUGGGUCUGGAUAGCAUUUUGUAUUGAGGAUUGAGUGCAGCCGCAAACUCUUUAAAUGCUGGCUGUUCUACCAAAGAGAAUGGGUGGUGACCUUCACAAAUAAGCCUGAUGAGGAAGCGGUCAACUGUUCCUUGAGACGCACGGAUGGCACCUCCCACCGCAAGUUGGGCCUGGAUGCCUGGGAGCUUGCUCUGUUUACUCUUGCUUCCUAGCUCCUGUAGUGACUUCCGUGAACAUGCACUAAAAACAGCAAGCUUUGAUGGAUGCUUUCUCUGUAAAUACAAACAUUACAAGAAGGUAGAGAAGAGUCAUGUUAAAAAAAUGCUAUUCAAAAGCUAUAACAAUCUCAUCCUUAUAAAGCAAGUGCUGUACUCACUCUGUUAUAUUAAAAAAAAAUGCUGAUUGGAAUAGGCCUACUGUAGGAUUGCUGCAGUUAGCUAGGCAUUAAAUUCAUUAAAAUAAUUCAAUAAUGUCAAUACAGCAAUUCUGUCAACAAAUUCCUUCUUCAAAACUUCAUGGUUUCAGAAGGGUAUUUCUGCACAUAAAUGCAGUCAUAAUGACUACAUGGAAUUUGAUGUUGGUAUUCGUGAAAAAAGGUAACAUUUGUGAAUAGGCAGCAUGAAUUCUGGAAA
Long non-coding RNA from Scatophagus argus, 859 nucleotides. RefSeq lists it as uncharacterized. The transcript is spliced from 2 exons. The record is from RefSeq and is a predicted model, not a curated record. Lineage: Eukaryota; Metazoa; Chordata; Actinopteri; Scatophagidae.